Oreochromis niloticus (Nile tilapia) is the source of this 1727-nucleotide long non-coding RNA. RefSeq lists it as uncharacterized. The record is from RefSeq and is a predicted model, not a curated record. The transcript is spliced from 5 exons. NCBI's taxonomy places the organism in Eukaryota, Metazoa, Chordata, Actinopteri, Cichliformes, Cichlidae.
GAGGGGAAACGAGGCAAGGUGCCAUUUAAGACGCGGUGCCAUUUAAUCCGGUAUAGACUACACAUACACACACGCGCGCGCACACUUAUAGAGAGAGAGGGAAAGAGAGGGGGUGUCCAGACAGGGCUGCCGAACAGCUUUGGAAUUCACAUGAAAAGUUUGAUUUCCUCUAAGCUUCACGUAACCCCAAGAGCCCCUGUGAUUUUAUAUAGCCUGAUAUGACUUCAUAAAAAAAUAAAUUACCAAGUCAAAUAUUAUUGUUCUCCAAUUUACUGCAGUGGACGAGCAAAUAAAUAAAUAAAUACGUUUUUAAAAAGCCAUUUUUUUUGUUUUAUGGCACUGCGGAUACCGGAUGCGCCUCGGAGGUAUCCUUUAACCUCAAAGGCUGCUUCGCUGCAGAGCUGGAGCCCCACCGAGGCUAUUACAACGGGGGCCACUCUCUCUAUUCUCCGAGAGAGGAGUGAGAGUGCUGCUGGUGCUGCUGGUGGAAGAGGAGGAGGAGGAGGGGGGCAUGGUGGCGGAGGAGGGUGGGAGAGGAGGGAGAGCAGAAACGUGUAAUCACCCAAACAACCGUUUUUACCCGUUUCACCCCCUCUGGAUCUGUGUCGCAAGUCCGCCGUGAGCCUGUCUGCCUUUCACUGCGGAUAUCGUGGAGGGAGGCCGGAGCGUGAAGAAGACACCAGAGAGGUAGCGCUUCUGCUAUGCAUGUGGAAAAGUGCAGACACGAUCAGCAUGUGACUUAUCCUAUAAACGCUCUUGAACAAUUGCCUUGCUAAUCACAUUAUGGAUACAGUAAGCUCAACAAAUUGGAGGAGAAAUGCAAAGCCUUGGAAUAGAAGAAAUCAGCUUUAAGUGUGAUAACAGGAAUCUGUAUAAAGAGGUUGGCUUUACUCCCAACUCAUGACAUGAUAACACGGAGCCAGCCGAAGGAGCAAGUGGACUAGGCAUCUGCCCCUACCCUCCACACACACACACACACACACACACACACACACACACACACACACACAAACCAGCAGGGGGACCCAAGAGUGUUCAAACAUCUCAAAAUAGACUGAUUAAAAAAAAAAUCUGCAGUAAUCACACAAAACAAAAUCAAAACAUCUUGAUGAAUCUGUUCAGCUUGCAUCAGAGCUGGUGUCAUGUAACUAUUUACAAGUAGAUUACAACAAAUAUGUCCCCACAAAGUAUUUAUUCAUCUGAGGUUGCAAAGUGAAAGAUAUGAUGAAGCUAUGUUUCCACGACUAAUUACAGCAUUACAUUAAGUGUCAAAUGAGCCCUGAGUUCAGUCAAGGUUUGGUGAGCUAAUGUCAGCUGGCAGGUAGUUAGCUUUAAUUUAAUGUUAAAUAUGAAAAUAGCUACAUUUGCCCCCUUUAAGAUAGAAAUCUCUAUUAGUUUUACAAAGCUACAUAGAUUUAAGUCGUUAACAAUACACAAACUUCCCUGCAUGUUAGCUAGGUUAUGCUGUAUGUAAACCAUAGCAGCCAAGUUUAAUGGCAAAACGUGUAAUAGACACGCCGGUCCACCGUGUCCAUUUCAUGUUUUGAAAAGGCAAAGGAUGCAGAAUGCAGAAGUUGCAUUACUAGCAGGGGGGAAGUAAUAUAUUUAAAGUCAAGAAGUUGAUAGUGAGCAGAAAACAUAUGAAGAACAUUCCAUCAGAAACCAUUAAGCUAGGUGGCUAAAAUGUAUUUACAUGUAAAUGUGUUAAUAAAGUCUUUUUAAAUGUU